CAGAACCGUUGCUGCACGUUCCUACCUCAGGUGCACGUUGUGCAGUUUAAACUUUGCCAUUAACAAAGUUCUUUAAGAUUAUGUAUAUUGUCUGGCGGUGUUAUGCUUCAUGAACAGAGACAGUAAGAAAAAAUAGAGCAGAGAGGUUUUACUGAAAGAGCAGUGAGCCAAAUCUGAAAUUGUCACCAGAGGCAGUGGCUGAUCAAUGGACCAAACUAGGACACAAACAUUGCCGUUUAAAAAAUUAUUUCUGAGUACUUUUAGCUCAUUAGGCCCCUAGAAAAGUUGUGUAAUUGGGUGUUAACAAAUGUUCCUAACAAUUUCAUUGUGAACCACUACCUGUGGUGGAGUGGUUGGGGGAGACAGUGCCAAAUUAGAAGAUGAAGUAGAGCGGAUUUAGAAGUGGACACUGUUGUUUUGUUUCUUAUAGCCUUGCUGUGGAAACCAAUUUCUCCUCAGACUCACCUCAGUACUGGCAACCCAUAUCUCCCCCUCGUCGUGAUAAGCUGACCAACCCAUUCCUUCACGACUUGACGGCCCUGUAAUUGUCGAAAAAGCUGGCCUCUUCUUACUCAAACUAAUUAAGAGAAGACAGGAAGUGUUCACGGUCACAAACAUGCAUGGAGGACAGCGGAUUCUGUGUCCAAUUACCACCAUUAAGACUCAAGGCGCCGAACCUACGCGCAGAGUCGCUAGAAUGCAAUGAGACAAGGCGCCCCAUCCGACAUCGUGCUCGGCUACCUCGAUCUGUGCUGGUGAGGUUCACGUCGCCCAUUGCCCUUCCUGGAGCAUCUGAUUGUAGCUAGCUACUUCCCACUUCGUAAUGUCAUCAAAAGAAACUAGAGAAUGCCGUGUUUGCCGUAAAUGAGACAAUUUGUCAAAACUGGUGCCACAGCUACCAAUAAGCAAAGGAGGUAGAUUUUACACAAAGACAGUUCGCUCAGACACAC
Molecule: long non-coding RNA, 950 nt
Organism: Esox lucius (northern pike)
Lineage: Eukaryota; Metazoa; Chordata; Actinopteri; Esociformes; Esocidae
Source: Ensembl